GGAGCACGCCGCGUGAGUGAUGAAGGUUUUCGGAUCGUAAAGCUCUGUUGUUAGGGAAGAACAAGUGCAAGAGUAACUGCUUGCACCUUGACGGUACCUAACCAGAAAGCCACGGCUAACUACGUGCCAGCAGCCGCGGUAAUACGUAGGUGGCAAGCGUUGUCCGGAAUUAUUGGGCGUAAAGGGCUCGCAGGCGGUUUCUUAAGUCUGAUGUGAAAGCCCCCGGCUCAACCGGGGAGGGUCAUUGGAAACUGGGAAACUUGAGUGCAGAAGAGGAGAGUGGAAUUCCACGUGUAGCGGUGAAAUGCGUAGAGAUGUGGAGGAACACCAGUGGCGAAGGCGACUCUCUGGUCUGUAACUGACGCUGAGGAGCGAAAGCGUGGGGAGCGAACAGGAUUAGAUACCCUGGUAGUCCACGCCGUAAACGAUGAGUGCUAAGUGUUAGGGGGUUUCCGCCCCUUAGUGCUGCAGCUAACGCAUUAAGCACUCCGCCUGGGGAGUACGGUCGCAAGACUGAAACUCAAAGGAAUUGACGGGGGCCCGCACAAGCGGUGGAGCAUGUGGUUUAAUUCGAAGCAACGCGAAGAACCUUACCAGGUCUUGACAUCCUCUGACAACCCUAGAGAUAGGGCUUUCCCUU
This 640-nucleotide ribosomal RNA is filed under the name Bacillus sp. CR20. Its description in RNAcentral is "bacterial SSU rRNA". It matches the Rfam family "Bacterial small subunit ribosomal RNA", at positions 388 to 1020 of the family's 1533-position model. Lineage: Bacteria; Bacillati; Bacillota; Bacilli; Caryophanales; Bacillaceae. The record is from RNAcentral.